RNAcentral lists this ribosomal RNA (172 nucleotides) under uncultured Actinomycetes bacterium. RNAcentral's name for it is "uncultured actinobacterium partial 16S ribosomal RNA". It matches the Rfam family "Bacterial small subunit ribosomal RNA", at positions 346 to 526 of the family's 1533-position model. Lineage: Bacteria; Bacillati; Actinomycetota; Actinomycetes. The record is from RNAcentral.
AGGCAGCAGUGGGGAAUAUUGGGCAAUGGAGSAAACUCUGACCCAGCGACGCCGCGUGAGGGAUGAAGGCCUUCGGGUUGUAAACCUCUUUCAGUAGGGAAGAAGCGAAAGUGACGGUUACCUACAGAAGAAGCACCGGCUAACUAUGUGCCACCAGCCGUCGGCUUAAUAU